Dreissena polymorpha is the source of this 7352-nucleotide long non-coding RNA. RefSeq lists it as uncharacterized. The transcript has 9 exons. The record is from RefSeq and is a predicted model, not a curated record. NCBI's taxonomy places the organism in Eukaryota, Metazoa, Mollusca, Bivalvia, Myida, Dreissenidae.
AUGAAAACACAUGGAUCUUUUCAGUAAAUUAUAUUAUAGAUUUAGAACACAUAGUGGGGCAUUGGUUAUUUUUUGUGCUGAUGAUACUGUAUGAUUGUAAAUAAUUACAUUGUUAAUUGUGUAUGAAUCUUAAAUUGACAAACAGGAUGGACAAAAUCUGGCUAUUCUGCUUUUAAUAUUAAGUGUAUUUUGGUUGAGAAGUUACAUAAUGAUUCCAUCCAGAGACAAUCUAAUUGUCUAUAAAUAGUUUCCAUAAAAGGCUGACAUGGGAAUUAUUUCUGUAUACUCUAUGACACUCCUGUUGUACAUGCUAAAUCUGAAGACCUGCACAUAUGACUGGAGUAUUGUUAAAUGUUAUUCCCUUUUAUGUUGUGUAAGCCAACUAGAAUCUUGUAUUAUUUCAGGUUAUGUAUGUGCAAGAAAUUAUGUUAUGUGCAGUAACUAUUGUACAAAUAUUUGUGUGCGGACUAAAUAUUUGCUUGUGUGUCACUCAAGUACCUCUUUAUAUGAAUUCUUUUUGAAAUUGGCCAGUCUAUCAACCAGUGGGAAUGCAAGAGAAUACACAUUCAAUCUGCAAUAUGUCAGCAAGUCCUCAUCCAGCUGUUCACUGAACAGGCUACAACUGAUAUUAUAAGAUUGUGGCAAUUAUUUCAACAGUAAUGAAUGUCAUCAUUGAAUAAAAAACACCUUUGUUGUGAACAUAAUUGAAAUGCCCCGUGCUUUAAUAUGAUAAUCUUGUAUACGAGAAGGAAACUGCUGAUUAUGUGCCCUGAACGUUGAUAUAGACUGCUCGCAUAUUGAUGCUCGUGCUGCAUUGACAUACAGGAUAGAUAAAUAAUCAGUUUUCUUACAUGAAGAAAGGCCAGGUACUUUACAAUCCAUCUGAAUAACAGACACCGCAAGGACAAUAUGCAAUUCAGGUAGAUACAUCUCCAAGCUGUGGAGGUAAUUUCCUUUCACUGCCAAGAACCAUACAUGAAUUAAAACACAAUACUGUUAAUACGAACUAUCAAUGUGGAUCCACGGUUACCAGUCCAGCCCUCAUGGAUUCAUAGACAGCAAAGCCAUCGGCCAAGUUGACCAGCUAAGCCACACUCAAGCCCCUGACCGGCUGUUACAGACUCAUGUGACUCACGAAAUGGCAGUGGACACCAAACCAGACUAAAAGACCAAACAUGCACCGUCAGCUCCUGUCCCAACCCAUGUCCCCAAAGUGAAAUCUGAUCAGGAAACGCAUAAGGUUUUAAUCCUAGAUGAACAUAGUAAAUCUGACAAUCAUCGGGGAUACUUGGCGAUGCUCUAUUUCCGGACAGCACUAGUCCUCACAUCCAGGACCCUGAUAGAGCAAGCGCGACAAACCGCAGAGCACUUCAACAACAACAAUCACCUCAGCAGGGUUUGCAACAUGACAAUGGAGGAAACUGAGUGCAACAAUCUCCUGAAAUUGCUAUUGAGUCAAUGAUGAUGCUUAGGGUGACAUCCACAGAGGCGAUGUUAAUACGUUUGAUUGAAUCGAAAGCCAAAGGCUGAUUGAAACGCUCCCGAGCCCGUUUCCAGGAUAUAAUCCAGAUUUACAGGAUAUAAUCCAGAUUGACAAAGUUAUACAAUCGAAGAUCGGUUUCCCAGAACAGCAGACUCUCUUAACAGCUGAACGACUGGAAACUCUGUCAAGCACUGGACAGACAUAAGCUGCAGUGGACUCUUGAGUGUGGACUUCAGGACAAACGAGGCGCCUUACACUCACCAGUGGGGUCACCAGGUUCCCUCACUCUAAAACGGUCCCAACAUCUCAACAGAUCACUUGCAUUCCCAUAAAACAACGCUGGGCUAAUGAACAUUGCAACAACGCCAAAAUAAAGGGUACUCCAGGCCCAAUGUCACCGCGGUACCAAUCCGGGCUCCUACAGCCGCCAUCCAGGUUGAGCAUUGUGGGUCCCAGCAGAAGGAUAAUUAUGCCCAUGGGCUCGCAACUAUCCACGGACUUCUCACAGCAGCAGUGGAACAACAUGGUGGCCAAGCAAGAGGCACCCCAAUAAAACAAUCGCCACAGAUCAUUGUCUGGUGACAAUCAGCAACCCACGGUAUCCUAGCAACCAGGCCAUGUUCGCACAGCAACAAUAACAUCAGCAGCAGCAAGACUCGGUUCAGCCAUCUUCAAUGCUUGGACAGCAACCUAAUUGCAGCAGUUUAUAAAGACGCCAGCUCAAGCCCAUUUGGUUCCCAGGGCCUUUGAUGUGACCCUCUUCACAUCUAUCCCAGCGCCAUGUGUUGCCCUGGUCUACAGCACCUUAUCUAUGGCAACACUAUUCGCUACAGAAUCCGUGAUGUCAACCCAGUACCCAUUUUGGGGUAUAGCAAUGUGCCCCUAGAUACAAACAUCGUCACAGAUCUCUCUCCAAUCGCUUGAAGCUUUACACAUCACCAAACUGCUUCAUAUUUAGCUACCAGCAGUAUCCAUGCAACAGUAUCCAUGCAACAAACCCAUUAUUGCCCAGCAACAGCUUCAUCAGCAGCAGUGGUCAGGUCAGCCGUCAACCAUGUUUGGGCAGCCUAGGCGCAGUAGUUUGCUGAAACGUCAGCUCAGCAUGGAUAUUUUUUUAACUAAUAUUUUGUUAUGGAGUUAAGGAUGAACAUUGUAAUUUUAAAUGUUGUUUCUUCUUAAUAAUUGUUAUUUUAGAAAGAUAUUUUUCAUUUUGGGUGAAAGGUGAUAUUGGCGGUAUUUCAUCUAAAUAUAGACUCAUAUUUAUGGCCCUCUUCGAAGAAGAGGGGGUAUAUUGCUUUGCACAUGUCAGUCGGUCGGUUUGACGGUCCGUCCUCCAGUUGGUUUCCGGAUGAUAACUCAAGAACGCCUAGGAUCAUGAAACUUCAUAGGAACAUUGAUCAUGACUGGCAGAUGACCCCUAUUGAUUUUUAGGUCAAGGUCACGGUGACCUGAAAUAGUAAAAUGGUUUCUGGAUGAUAACUCAAGAGCGCUUAUGCCUAGGAUCAUGAAACUUGAUAGGUAAAUUGAUCAGGACUCGCAGAUGAUCCCUAUUGAUUUUCAGGUCAAAGGUCAAGGUCACGGUGAACCGAAAUAGUAAAAUUAUUUCCGGAUGAUAACUCAAGAACGCUUAUGCCUAGAAUCAUGAAACUUCAUAGGUAGAUUGAUAAUGACUGGCAGAUGACUUUAUAGAUUUUCAGGUCACUAGGUCAAAGGUCACGGUGACCCGAAAUAGUAAAAUGGUUUCCGGAAGAUAACUCAAGAACGCUUAUGCUGAGGAUCAUGAAACUUCAUAGGUACAUUGAUCAUGACUCGCAGAUGACCCCUAUUGAUUUUCAUGUCACUAGUUCAAAGGUCAAGGUCAUGGUGACCCGAAAUAGUUACAUGGCUUCCGGAUGAUUUCUGAAGAACGCUUAUGCCUAGGAUCAUGAAACUUGAUAGGUAGAUUGAUCAUGACUCGCAGAUGACCCCUAUUGAUAUUCAGGUCACUAGGUCAAAGGUCAAGAUCACAGUGACAAAAAACAUAUGCACACAAUGGCUGUCACUACAAUGGAGAGCCCAUAUGGGGGGCAUGCAUGUUUUACAAACAGCCCUUGUUAACCAAUAAAUCACUCUCUUUAUUCAUUUAAGAAACAACAAUAUAUUGAUACAGGUACUUUGAAAGCAAUACAUAAAGGCAAGAAUUAUAAAGCAUUAUAACUAAUGAAAUAAGUAAUGCAACAUUAAAAAUAAGAAUUUUGUAAAAAAAAUAAACUUAUUAUGAAAAAAGUGCAUUGUGAAACAAAACUUACUAGUCUAAUUAAUGUAUUUAAAUUUGCUAGUAUGUAUUUGUGAACACUUUAACAAAUAUGUUAUGUUGUGCAAUAUAUUAACACAUAAAUAUUUCACCUUGCCUCUCUUCUACCAAGGUUGACUCACACCGCUCAGAGCAGAUCAGCGGGCUUUCAUGUGGCAGCACAACAAAUCAAAGAGAUCCAUGCGAGGUCAGCCCUCUCAACAGUGCCAUACCCAUGACGAUGAAGUCCUCCAACUCGCCCCAGUACUCACCUUGGUGUCAGGGAAAGGUUCAAGGUCACAUGGGCUUUGGUGACCUUUGCAAGAUUGCAUGUUGGACUGGAGUGAUGAGACAUUUUCCAUUUCAAUUAAGAUUGUAUUGCAAUUAUUUUCUCUUUAAUCGAUACUAAAAAUGAUUGUUAUUACGAAAGGAAUACUUAUGCGUUCUAUUGAUAAACGUCUCCAAACAUAUUAACCUGAGAUUGAUGUUGGACCCUUGGAUAUUUCGUGUUUAUUUAGUGUUGACAUUAAUGGAGUUUUUAGACAAAACUGGAAUGUUAGCGCAUUUCAUAUCCCAUCCUAUAUCGCCAAAUUGAUGGUUUGACUUUUAGAUAUUUGGAAAUGAGGAGGUGAAAAAGAAACAAACACUGUUACAUGUCAGUUUUAAUUCACCCAAAGUAUUUUUUAUUUAACCAACAGCCCCAUGAACAUCAUGACCUUGCUUGUUCAUUGCCCUCAGACCCUUUGUUAAAAAAAACAAACAAAAUGACUAAGUGGAGUUAACAACAAUGCAUCUUCCUUUUUUUCAGACACUAAUCAACAAAAUUAAACCGGCCAAUUAGAAAAACAUCCUGUUGCAUCAGUUAGUUAUACCUCGGAAGAUCAGUUAUGAAUAAAAUUUAAACACAUGCUACUUUCUAAGAUCCUGUAUUGGUCGUGUUAUAGCCUUGCCUUCUGUUGUGAACAAUAACUAUAAUUGAAGAUCUCAUCUUGGAAUUGUGGGAUGGGUCGGAAACGAGUGGCAUAGUUUAAAAUAAAAUUGCAGAAUGACAAAGUAUACCAAGUCACGUGGCCAGCCAUAAAGUCGUGUGGCAUGUCACAUUGUGGAAUGUGACCAGCGAAUACAUUUCAUGUAGUAUGGGCAUUAUAAUGCUGUCAAUUAUUUGAUAUAUAUGUUUUUGUGUAAUGAAGUCAAAAUUGGUAAUACAAAUUAAGUGAAUGUUACUUGUUAAAAGCAGUUAUAUAAAGAAUUAUUUUAAGCCAAAAUGAAGUAAGUCUUAGUUACAUGUAUUACUUAAUAUUCUGAAUUAUUACUCGAGAUUUUGGAAAAACUUAGCAUUAAGAGUUUGCAUACGCUGACUUUAUGCUUAAGCAAAGCUGUUUAAUUAAUACUAGUAACUUGUACAAAAUGUCAUAUUUAUUGUCUUCUUUUCAUUAAAUAAAACAUAUCUCAGUAUUGUUUUAUCAGUAAUAUAGCUAGACAUGCUAGUUUUUUUAAAGAAAGAUUAAACAUUUUGACACUUCUAUUUUGAUCUUUCUGUAUUUCCGUCUGUAUACAAUACUUGUUACUUUGCUCAGAGGAGUCAGUAUUUUAUCAAGAAUCGUGUGUAGUCUCGUAAAAUUAAAAAAGCAAAAUAUUAAUUUAUUACCACAAACUUGUUUUAUCUUCGGUAAAUUGUAAAUUCUGUAUUGACAAUUGGUUUUAUUAUUAAAUAUUAGCACAAAUGUAUCAUAUUUUAAAAGCUGUAUACAUGUUCAAAACGCUGAUAAUAGGCCCGAAAAGCCUAAGUUGUCAUCAUUUAAAGAAAGAUUGUUUGAAAUGAAUAAAAUUUGAAAGGUUAUCUUAACUAAAAUUGCUAUGGUUUGUUUAAGGAUAUGAAAAGACUAUAAUUCUAUGAAAUGCUUUCAAUGAAUUAAUUUAUAAUGAUGAGAUUAUUCGUGAAUACUAACCAACGUUAUAAGUGUUAAUAGCUAAUGGUGGAUCCCAAACUUAUUACUACCAUGCUCAUAUCUAGUGUUGACGUAUGUAUUCGGACAUAAUAGUUCAUGAUACUUUGUAAACAAUGUGCAGGCUCUAAUAGACUAAUAAAAACCAGAUAUUAAUGUGCGUAAAUGAGUAUAAUAACUUGACCAAGAUAUAUAUAUAUAUAUAUAUUUAUUUAUUUAUGCUUUUGUUGAUAUAUUACAAAAUACAUACAUAGACGGUGUAAAUAAUUUAUGAUUUAUGUUUUGUUUCAAUUUGUGGAACCCCCUGUUUGGUGUUUAACGUGAAUCCUUCAGGUGCAAGACAAUAAAAAUAACACUGUUUUUGCAAAUGCUCAUAUGUAACUUGUAAGAUUGUAUAGCUAUAUCAAGACAAAAGAUAUAUUAUGUUAUAGAAACACAUUGUUUUAUACGAUACGUUUAACCUAUCCAAUUUAAAUGUAAAAAUAUACUGACAAUAUUUUUGAUAUGAAGGAGGAAAUCAAGUCGAAAAAUAUUAAUAUGUAGGAAUUUGAAAAACAAUAACAUAUCAAGGGAGAGCAAUGUGAUAUGCUUGAAAUUGUCAAUAACUGCAAUUUUAAUUCAUGCGUAUUUAUAAGUUUAGGUUCAAUUGAAUUCUCAUUUCUCCAAAAACUUGUGUGUAUUUGUUAUAACAAAAUUCAUAUUUAAUGAAAUUUGUAAGAAAUCAAUUUGAUAGAAUGACAAUAGAGUCUUGAAUUAUUUUUGUAAUUCUGACUAAUAUUAAUGCAUGGACUGCACAAUAUUUUAUUUUAUACUUGACAUAUAACUGACGCUUUAAAAGUUUUACACAAAUCUUAAAGCCAGAUUUCCCCAUGAAAUCUGAUUGUUUGUAUUCAAACUUGAUUUCAAAUCAAAUGUUUUGUUUCUGUUGUUCAACAAUUAAAUAACCUUUGUGUAUGUACAUCUUGUUUGAAUAACAUAUUGAAUUGAUAUUUACAGUGAGAAGAACACUCUUAUUUUAUUUUAUUUUUAUCAUUGUUUAGCUGAAAUAAAAUGGUAACCAUACAAGUGUACACAUUAUGAGUAUUGGGCUAUAUUGGUAUGAUUAAUUCGUUUGUUCGACCAACACCAACGUGACAAUUUGCUUUGGUAAGGCUCUGUUAUAUAAAUAAAAUUCUAUGACGACGUCUCCAAGGUCUUUAUGAAGAGCUUGUGUAACACAUCAUGAUCAAUUGCUUAUCAAUUGAUUGCAUCAUUUUGUCUGACGUGCCUCAAUAUCUUCUAAAUCGAAACAUUACUGUUAAUUUAAUUUUAAUUAUUCAUGUUUCGAUAUUUCUCUAAACUGUACAAAUAUACUUGCUAAAAUAACUAUAUCAUUAUUUUACUGUCAGUGUAAUUAAAUUGAAUAUUUUUUUAUAGUUUUUCAAUAACUGUAUUGCUUUUUUAAGACGCAAAUUAUACUAAUCAAUACCACUACUAUAUUCAGUGGUUUAUUUGUAGAGGGAUGUUCUAAUAAUGUGUAUGUAUAUAUGUACAUUUGUUGAACCAAGUUUGUUGUUCCCCUGUCCUUGAUGUACAUAGCUAUCCCUGCAGUGGAAAUAAUGUUGUAUGUUGACAAUGUGUUGAUACCAAAAUUAAAAAAAUCAUAUUCGUU